ACGAACGCUGGCGGCGUGCUUAACACCUGCAAGUCGAACGCUGAAGCUCAGCUUUUGUUGGGUGGAUGAGUGGCGAACGGGUGAGUAACACGUUAGUAACCUGCCCCCUUCUUUGGGAUAACGCCCGGAAACGGGUGCUAAUACUGGAUAUUCACUGGUCUUCGCAUGGGGGUUGGUGGAAAGGGUUUUUCUGGUGGGGGAUGGGCUCGCGGCCUAUCAGCUUGUUGGUGGGGUGAUGGCCUACCAAGGCUUUGACGGGUAGCCGGCCUGAGAGGGUGACCGGUCACAUUGGGACUGAGAUACGGCCCAGACUCCUACGGGAGGCAGCAGUGGGGAAUAUUGCAUAAUGGGCGCAAGCCUGAUGCAGCGACGCCGCGUGAGGGAUGGAGGCCUUCGGGUUGUGAACCUCUUUCGCUCAUGGUCAAGCCGCAACAAUGGUUGUGGUGAGGGUAGUGGGUAAAGAAGCGCCGGCUAACUACGUG
RNAcentral lists this ribosomal RNA (482 nucleotides) under uncultured bacterium. RNAcentral's name for it is "partial 16S ribosomal RNA". It matches the Rfam family "Bacterial small subunit ribosomal RNA", at positions 29 to 507 of the family's 1533-position model. The record is from RNAcentral.